UCGGGAAUUUUGGGCAAUGGGCGAAAGCCUGACCCAGCAACGCCGCGUGAGGGAUGAAGUAUUUCGGUAUGUAAACCUCGAAAGAAUGGGAAGAAUAAAUGACGGUACCAUUUAUAAGCUCCGGCUAACUACGUGCCAGCAGCCGCGGUAAUACGUAGGGAGCAAGCGUUGUUCGGAUUUACUGGGCGUAAAGGGCGCGUAGGCGGCGCGGUAAGUCACUUGUGAAAUCUCUGAGCUUAACUCAGAACGGCCAAGUGAUACUGCUGUGCUAGAGUGCGGAAGAGGCAACCGGAAUUCUUGGUGUAGCGGUGAAAUGCGUAGAUAUCAAGAGGAACACCAGAGGCGAAGGCGGGUUGCUGGGCCGACACUGACGCUGAUGCGCGAAAGCCAGGGGAGCAAACG
This 402-nucleotide ribosomal RNA is filed under the name uncultured bacterium. RNAcentral's name for it is "bacterial SSU rRNA". It matches the Rfam family "Bacterial small subunit ribosomal RNA", at positions 355 to 774 of the family's 1533-position model. The record is from RNAcentral.